AGAACGAACGCUGGCGGCAGGCCUCAAACAUGCAAGUCUAGGGGGCGUAGCAAUACGUCACCGGCGGACGGGUGCGUAACACGUGGGAAUGUACUUACUGGUUCGGAACAACUCAGGGAAACUUGAGCUAAUACCGAAUGUGCCCGAAAGGGGAAAGAUUUAUCGCCAGUAAAUCAGCCCGCGUCCGAUUAGCUAGUUGGCGGGGUAAAGGCCCACCAAGGCGACGAUCGGUAGCUGUUCUGAGAGGAAGAUCAGCCACACUGGGACUGAGACACGGCCCAGACUCCUACGGGAGGCAGCAGUUGGGAAUCUUGGACAAUGGGGGAAACCUCGAUCCAGCCAUGCCGCGUGAGGGACGAAGGCUUUCUGAGUUGUAAACCUCUUUCUAGCAGGGACGAUUGUGACGGUACCUGCAGAAGAAGCCCCGGCCAACUACGUGCCAGCAGCCGC
Molecule: ribosomal RNA, 450 nt
Filed under: uncultured bacterium
Lineage: Bacteria
Description: SSU rRNA
Rfam family: Bacterial small subunit ribosomal RNA
Source: RNAcentral